This 519-nucleotide ribosomal RNA is filed under the name uncultured bacterium. RNAcentral describes it as "bacterial SSU rRNA". It matches the Rfam family "Bacterial small subunit ribosomal RNA", at positions 990 to 1512 of the family's 1533-position model. The record is from RNAcentral.
UCUGACAGUCCCAGAGAUGGGAUCUUCUUCGGACAGAUAUACAGGUGGUGCAUGGUUGUCGUCAGCUCGUGUCGUGAGAUGUUUGGUUAAGUCCAAAUAACGAGCGCAACCCUCGUCUUCAGUUGCUAACAUUUAGUUGAGAACUCUGAAGAGACUGCCAGUGCAAGCUGGAGGAAGAUGGGGAUGACGUCAAAUCAUCAUGCCCCUUACGUCUAGGGCUACAGGCGUGCUACAAUGAUCGGUACAACGAGUCGCAACAUGGUGACAUGGAGCUAAUCUCUUAAAGCCGGUCCCAGUCCGGAUUGGAGUCUGCAACUCGACUCCAUGAAGUUGGAAUCGCUAGUAAUCCCGAAUCAGAAUGUCGGGGUGAAUACGUUCCCGGGUGUUGUACACACCGCCCGUCACGCCAUGGGAGUCUGUAAUACUUGAAGUCGGUAGCCUAACCCGCAAGGGAGGGGACCGCCCAGGGUAGGACAGGUGACUGGGGUGAAGUCGUAACAAGGUAACCUUAAUCUAGAU